Lentinula aciculospora is the source of this 92-nucleotide non-coding RNA. NCBI's taxonomy places the organism in Eukaryota, Fungi, Basidiomycota, Agaricomycetes, Agaricales, Omphalotaceae. The record is from the annotation of a GenBank genome assembly.
UCCUUCUUAGCUCAGUUGGUAGAGCGCGUCACUAGUAGCAGCUAAUGGUGGUGUUAAUGACGAGGUCAGUCGUUCAAGUCGGCUAGAAGGAA